AUGCGGGCACUUACAAGGGGCAGUCUGACAGCAUCCCACACGGUGACCAGGUGCCCUCACUUCAUGCUGUUUCCUCUUCAGAGGGAGUUCAAGCACUCAGGCUCCAUGAGCCUCCCUUCUUCCAUGGGCUUAUUUACCACUCCUUUUGUCUUAUUAGAAAAGGUCCAUCACCUAACUCGCAAGCUACCCUGCGUCCUGUGGCACCCCUGCAGACUACCACUUGGCACCACCACAGCCGGUAGACUUGCUUCACAUGAAUCACCACCUUCUUCCAGCCCGAGUGCCUGUGAGAGCCCUUCACAGACUCCUGACUUGCACACCUGCUCUCAGCAUCUCUCACACUGCCCCUGACGUGUGAACAGGUGGAGAGAAGUCCAACAAGUUACUGCAGCUCAGCAUCGUCAUCCUUGCCUCUGAAGCUGCCAGGUCCUAGCGCGUCCCUCUCUCCAUGAACGCUGUGGACAGCGCUGUGGCUUCCCUUCUUGGGAGGCACAGAUUCCUGCUG
This 505-nucleotide long non-coding RNA is filed under the name Bos grunniens (domestic yak). Its description in RNAcentral is "lncRNA (ENSBGRG00000005644.1)". Lineage: Eukaryota; Metazoa; Chordata; Mammalia; Artiodactyla; Bovidae. The record is from RNAcentral.